GUUCUCCUCCCAGUCCUAACUGUGGAAGGAAAAGACAAGGAGCGACUCCUGUCACCCUUGCUUGACCAGACCCUGACCAGAAAUCCAGGAGGCUGACUUGGUCGAGGAGAGCAACGCUAUCACGAGAGACAGAGUGCCAGCCCUGAGAUGAGUCUGCUUGCACAGACCUCACUAAAAUCACCCUUAUCUUCCGUUGGUUCCCCCGUAUCCUUCCUGGGCACUUCUCCACAACUUAUCACCCUUUGUUAAAAUGGACACGUGAGUUGCAACCUCUGAAUCAGGAAAUGUAACUCUACUCAGUUUUAUGGAGCAAUAGGGAAAGAAACAACCAGUCACGCCCCUCUGGGUCUUGUGACCAAGAGAGUUCAGAAGCUGCUAUUAGUGGGAGAUUUGGUGUCUUUUUGGGAGAUGAAAAACUUCUGAUCCAGUUACAAGUGCUUCUGGUCUCAUCUUGGACUUGUGAGAUGUGGUCUCUGUAGGCACGUUUGCACCUUCCGCACCACGCCCAAUCCCAGCUUCCUCUCUGCAUGUUGUGCAGCCCGCUCUCAUUAUCCACCCCACCUCCAGGUGCGUGUGUCCUGCCUUUUGUGAGAACAGCAAGCCCUCCAGCCUGCUUCCCCAGCGAUGUCUGGGUCCUGUCUUGGCAUGGUGAUUGUUCUUAUUUUCAUCACUUGAACUCUUAGAAAUCAGGGCCCCAGUGUUCACCAUGUCAAACAUUAACCCAGGACUGUCUGUCUCGACACAAAGCCACAGUCCCCCAUGGGCACUGAGGAAGACGGGCUGCCCUCGCCAGGUUGCACAGCGUGUCUCUGCUCAGGGAUCACGGGGCCAACAUCAGCGGUCGGGGGCAAAACAGCAGCAGCGACUGCGGAAUGCAGAUAAUCUAUGUGGAUCCAUUUGACACUAAAAGUGUUGAUUUCAGCCUCUAUUUUGUGGGGCAAUGUGUGGAUUUUAUACUUUUCCCCCAAACCUGCAUACGCACCACUGAAAAACAGGACUUUUUGCAUCCCAAGGAAAUUUUCUGGCUGAAGGACUUUCCCUGCGAAAUGCAGGCCAGUGCCAGGCUGACCGGGGCGGCUGGUCCCCGGGGUACAGGGCUCCCCUGACCACAGCAGCAGCGGCGGAGGGUCUGUCUUCCCACAGGGUCCAGGGCGUCGGUCCACAUAGAUUGCUCUCGUGUGUCCCUCUUCUCUGCUGAAAGAGUCCCUUCUGGUGAGGGCUUCCUCGGGACCCCUUACAGGAACAUCCUGCUGCCCCAGGG
Molecule: long non-coding RNA, 1261 nt
Filed under: Equus caballus (horse)
Lineage: Eukaryota; Metazoa; Chordata; Mammalia; Perissodactyla; Equidae
Description: lncRNA (ENSECAG00000044623.1)
Source: RNAcentral